This 6469-nucleotide long non-coding RNA is filed under the name Salmo salar (Atlantic salmon). RNAcentral describes it as "lncRNA (ENSSSAG00000105899.1)". Lineage: Eukaryota; Metazoa; Chordata; Actinopteri; Salmoniformes; Salmonidae. The record is from RNAcentral.
CUCUAGCGCGCCUGAGUCACGUGAUAGGACAGAUUUUCUCAUAAGGACCAAUGGAAAGGUCUUACAUUCACAAACUCCGCCCACCCGGAACUCGCGGGACAGAUGAAUGCACACUGAAGGAGCACGAAUAGCACUGCUCGUCCUGUUUUAGGUUUCGUAGAUGUUUGACUCGACCUGCUUUGUAUUAUACCGACGAUGGACCGCAAACGGAGCAAGGCACAGGCCGAGGCUAUGGCUGCAGAUCUCAGUGACGUCACUUCAAUGAAUCUGCUUGGCGUCGCCGAUGUAAAUCAGUGGAUAGAACUUGUGAAAGAUUACUCGGUGGCUGGAGAUCACACACAUGUCCUCUCUGAAUCUGAAGAUGGUGACGGUGAUGACGAUUAUGACAUGGAUCACUCAGUUAUCACAGAUGAAGUUGAGAUGAUUAUGAUUAGAGUGCGCAACGCGAUGGAACCGGGUUAUGACAAGGAGAUGGACAAAAUCCGUCAAUUUGAUUGCAAAUGCGGAGAGGGGCGGAAGGAAGACAACGAAGGAUCGUGCACAAAAAAGUUGUACCCAGACCGCAUCUACAAAUACAGGCGUAAUAUGGCAUCCUUAACACAGAGGUUGAGAGACAUUGCCAUUCUCGGAGUAUUAAAUACCAUCGCACCUAUACUUACCGUAGGUGCGAAGCCCCAGUGUUCCAAGACAGGUGAGCAGACUCAACGGAACCCCCAAACACUUCCAUACCUGGUUGGAGGUGUUCCAGUCUGCGAGGAAUCAUUUCUAUUCAUAUAUGGCAUCAGCAGAGAGCGUCUAAUAUUCCUCCACCGAUCCUACCAGGAGAACGGUACAAAGCCACCCACCUCACCAACUACCACUGGUCGUCCACAUAAUCCUGUAGCCCCUGCGGCUGCCACUGUCCGGCCACGCAAGCCCCGUGCUACUGCGAAGAAGAAAUAGCAAGUCUUGACCAGCAAAUGCAUAUGUAUGUUUUAUAGACCAUGGAGUUUAGCAGCUGUUAUUCCAUUGCCAAGGACAUUACAUGCACAUGUCCUGGACUUAAGGAAAUGACAGGAUGCAAAAUGCUUUCAGUAUUUAAGAGAAUAAAUGUCGACAUGACACCAUACAGUGCAUUCAGAAAGUAUUCAGACCCCUUGACUUUCCCACAUUGUUACAUUACUACCUUAUUCUAAAUUUGACUAAAUAAAACAAUUCCUCAAUCUACACAGUAUACAAUAAUGAAAAAGCAAAAACAGGUUUAUAAAACAGGCAAAUGUAUAAAACAUUUUUAAAUACAUUUUAGAAUAAGGCUGUAAUGUGGGCAAUGGGUCUGAAUGGACUGUAAAGACGGGGUCUUCUGAUUUUAGUGUAUUUUUUAGUAAGUAGUCAAAAUAUUUUAAUCUACAUAUGUUUUUAUCCCCAAUAUUUGUCCUGUAUACUGCCUUGUACUGGAUGGUCUGAUAUUGGCAGUUCUGUCACUAAUUCGCUAGUUCUUAAAUGACUGCUUCCAUGCAGUUACGCUGCAUUGAUUGUAUUGACACACUAAUGUGAAGUCACCACACUUAAGUUGCUGUAGCCUAGUUUUACUGUAGCCUAGGCCUAUGAAGCACUGUUGGCCAACUGGUAAAAUAUUGAGGUUAUUACAACCUAGUGAAAAUUACAUUUUAGCCUACAGUCUGGUUUACAGUUGGUCUGUAGACAGUUGUCGCAGUGACAAACAUUCUGUUGUCCAACACAACUUGUUAUGAAAAAGUAAAAACACAUGACGGGCUGCAUGACAUCAACAGCAUGGUGGUCCAAAUGGCAGAACUGCUGUAUUUUAACCCCAAUAAACCCAGAUUUAAUUUACUAUAUUAUUGUCUACAUUAGACAUAUCAUUAGACCAAGUAUUCAGACCACACAUUUUUCAGCAUUUUAUGGUACAGCCUUAUUUGAAAAAUGAUUUUUUUUUAAUUCUUCAAUCUACACAAUACCACAUGCCAAAGCAAAAAUGGGUUUAGAAUUUUUUGCAACUGUAUAUGACUGAUACUCUAUUUACAUAAGUAUUCAGACCCUUUGCUAUGAGACUCAAGGUGCAUCUUGUUUCCAUUGAUAAUCCUUGUGCUGUUUCUACAACUUGGAGUCCACCUGGGGUAAUGUUAAUUGAUUGGACAUGAUUUGGAAAGGCACACCUUGGAGAACCAUCUCUGCAGCACUCCACCAAUCAGGCCUUUAUCCUAGAGCGGCCAGACGGAAGCCACUCCUCAGUAAAAGGCACGUGACCACCUGCUUGGAGUUUGUCAAAAGGCAACUACUAAAGGACUCUCAGACCAUGAGAAAUAAGAUUCUCUGGUCUGAUGAAAUCAAGAUUGAACUCUUUGGCCUGAAUGCCAAGCGUCACGUCUGGAGGAAACCUGGCACCGUCCCUACGGUGAAGCAUGGUGGUGGCAGCAUGCUGUGUUUUUUUAUUUUUCAGCGGCAGGGACUGGGAGACAAGUCAGGAUCGAGUGAAAGUUGAAAGGCACAAAGUACAGAGAGAUCCUUGAUGAAAACCUGCUCCAGAGCGCUCAGGACCUCAGACUUUGGCAAAGGUUCACCUUCCAACAGGACAAUGACCCUAAGCACACAGACAAGACAACAUGGGAAUGGCGUUGGUUCUUGUUUUUGCUCUGUCAUUUUGGGUUAUUGUGUUUUGAUUGGGGGGGGCAAUUUAAUACAUUUUAGAAUAAGGCUAACGUAACAAAAUGUGGAAAAAGUCAAGGGAUCUGAAUACUUUCUGAAUGCACUAAACUUUCCUCUCCCCUUGCAGCUGACUUCCAAAGGAAUUUAGGAAGGCUGUUUUUCAUGAUAAUAACCCUCUUUUCGGUGACUGCCAAUAUCCGAUGCUAUGCGACUCAAACAUGAGCAAUAAGAGAUCAGCACAAUGGACAGUGUUUGAUUAAUUUACCACAAAAAUGAUUUUAUUAUCAAGCCACUGCUCUUUAUUUUUUAAAUUGUUUUUGACUGUUUUUGUUUCUUGUUGGUGUGGUUACAGGUACGUUAUCCAUUGCAUUGCAGACUUUGAAUUAUUCUGCAUACAGUUGGUUCACUAACAGCACACAAAUCUCCUGUUUCACGAUGGAAGGUUCCAGAUGCCAAAAACCUCAAGUUGAUCAGGAUGGGCUUUCCCCUAAGAGAGUCAGAUGAAAGCCUUGGCUCAAGCAAACAAAUGAUGUCAGCUGCAUUGUCUUUGGACAUACGGAAACGUUCAUGGAAAUUGAUUUCAUCAAAAUCAUUCAGUGGGUUUCUCCUGUCUAUAACUGCCCUUUGAUCAUCAUUGAAAUAGUCCAGGUAAUCCAUUUUCCUCCAUUGCCUAGGUCAACCUGGGGGCCAACAUCCAUUAAUCUGUGUCUGCGGAACACCCCCAUAAUGUUUAAAUUGAUGGUUCAGAUUACGGGAUGCCAAGGUCAUAUUUUUCCAUAUUUGGUUCCAGUUAUAGGGUUUUUCACAUUCACUUAGAUCUGUGGACCAUACUUUUUUAAUGGCCAGCUCAGACUGUGAGCUUUCCAAAAGUUGUUUAUAUAUUAUAUAGUUCAGUCCUUUCAAGAGCCCAGAUCAUUUCUUUAUAGAUCCUAUCUUUGCAUGGUUCAGUGGUUGGGUUUCCUAAGGGACUCCAUAGGCCAGCAUAGCUGACCUAAAUUGUAAAUCUAGAAAAAAGGAGUUGCCUGGUAAUGUGUGUCUUUCAAAUGUUGGAAUGUUCUGAAACCAUUACUGUCAAUGAUUUUGGCAAGGGUACUGAUUCCACAUUUGUGCCAUUGGGGGGAUGCAGAAGGCUGCUCUCCAGAUGGGAAGGCAUUGUUGUGAAACACUGGAGUAUGGGCAUACCAUUUUGAUUCCCAGUUACAUUGUUUUUACAUUUUACACCAAAUAGAAAUUGUGUGAGAAAUAAUAGUACCAAAGCAUAGUUUACACAGUGCAAUUGAUAUAUCAGUGAAGACCACCUCUUCCAGGGUAAUAGGAAACACCAUAUUUUUCUCUAUACUCAGCCAGGGGGCAGAAGAAUCAUGUCUAAACCAAUUUAGGAUGGGACGAAAUGCUUGUGCCUGGAAACACAAAAAUGUAGGAACGGAUAGUCAUCCCACGUCUUUCCAAGUUUGUUAAUUCUUUCCAGGCUCGCUUACCUUGCAAUAUACAUUUUGUCCCAAUAGCCAGAAGGGGGAGACAAGGGAAGCAUUGAACCACAGAAAUUCAGCCUUGGCAAUAUAUUCAUUUUGACGAGAUAUUCUGCUGUUUAAAGCAACUGGGAUAUUAGUCGGAUUGAAUUGAUUUCAGCAUUCUGUUAAAGUUUCUGGCAAUGGUUUUAUCUAAGGAAGGAAAUGCAGUAUAUCUAUUCCCAAAUACUGUAUUUAAAAUGGGAAACGAUAGUAGAGUAGAGACUGAGUCCUCCAUCGGGGUCUUGAGAGGCGUAAGGGCAGAUUUGGUUAGAUUUAUUUUCUAACUUGAGAUGAGGAACGCCAGUAUGAAGAUUUGCACUCAGGCUAGAAUGGAUGGAGAAUGGAUGGAGGCCGGUGCGUAGAACAAUGCCAAGAGUGUGCAAAGCUGUCAUCAAGGCAAAGGGUGGCUAUUUGAAAUAUUUUAUUUGUUUAACACUUUUUUUGGUUACUUCCUUUUGUGUUUUUCAUAGUUUUGAUGUCUUCACUAUUAUUCUACAAUGUAUAAAAUAGCAAAAAAUAAAGAAAAACCCUUGAAUGAGUAGGUGUUCUAAAACAUUUGACCGGUAGUGUACAUACCUACUUUAAUCUUUACUUUCAGGCCAACGGGGAAGUGGUGGUAUGGAGAGGUUGUUUUUUUUGAUCGCCUGAAGAGGAACGGUGGGGGUAACUGGCGAGCAACCCUAGUUGCAAGGUGCGGGGGGAAACAUGGUUUCCAGGAGUGGUGGGUGGAUGGAGACAUGUUGCCUUGGUGGGGUUGAGGGAAUGGGAGGUUGAAGGUGGAGGCCCAAUUUGUGUUUUUCCUUUUCCUAUUUAUCACUUUAAUUCUGUAUUUCUUACCAUUUUAUUUGUUUUUAGUAACCGCCUACGGGCACAUUCAAUAAACGUAUCAUUUGAAACGGAUAAUGUACCUGUAACCACACCAUCAAGAAACCAAAUAAACAUUGUCAAAAAUAAUUACAAAAAUUCAGAGCAGUUUCUUAUUAAUAAAAUCAUAUGUGGUGAAUUAAUCAAACACUGUCCAUUGUGCUGAUCUCUUAUUGCUCAUAUUUGAGUCACAUAACAUCGGAUAUUGACAGUCACCGAAAAGAGUGUUAUUAUCAUGAAGUAAAAUCAGCCUUUCUAAAUUCCUUUGAUAGCCAGCUGCAAGGGGAAAGGAAAGUUCAGUGCAUUCAGAAAGUAUUCAGAUUCAAUUUCUGAGGCUGGUAACUCUAAUGAACUUAUCCUCUGCAGCAGAAGUAACUCUGCGUCUUCCUUUCUUGUGGCGGUCCUCAUGAGAGCCAGUUUCAUAGUGCUUGAUGGUUUUUGCAACUGCACUUGAAGAAACUUUCAAAGUUUUUUUAUGUUCUGGACUGACUGAACUACAUGUCUUAAAGUAAUGAUGGACUGUCAUUUCUCUUUGCUUAUUUGAGCUGUUCUUGCUUUAAUAUGGUCUUUUACCAAAUAUGGCUAUCUUCUGUAUACCACCCCUACCUUGUCACAACACAACUAAUGGGCUCAAAUGCAUUAAUUAGGAUAUCAAUUCCACAAAUUAACUUAAGGCACACCUGUUCAUUGAAAUGCAUUCCAGGUGACUACCCCCAUGAAGCUGGUUGAGAGAAUGCCAAGAGUGUGCAAAGCUGUCGAGGCAAAGGGUGGCUAUUUUGAAGAAUCUCAAACAAACAAAUCAAAAUAUAUUUUAACACUUUUGGUUACUACAUGAUUCCAUAUGUGUUAGUUCAUAGUUGAUGUCUUCACUGUUAUUCUACAAUGUAGAAAAAAAUUAAGAAAAACCCUUGAAUGAGUAGGUGUGUACACACUUUUGACUGGUAUGUCUUGACUUAUAUUGUCAGCCAGUCCAAGCAGAUUGUUCCCAACUAAUCUCACUCUCACACACAUAUUGUUUGAAGUUGAUAACAGAGCUUCAGGAGAGUUCAAAGCAAUGAGGCGUCACAUUCAUAUAUGAGCGCUGACCUUUCUUGGACUAGGGACUUGAUUAGCAGGAAAUGGCUGUGACUAAGGUUGCAAAAUCCUGGGAUACUUUCAACAAAUUCACAGUAAAUUCUCCCUAUUGUAUUGCUUGACUAUAUUCCUACUGAAUGGUUGGAAGAGAGAUUGACUUCACCAUUACUUGUUUUUUGUAAGAGGUGUUGACAAGCUGAAUUUACUGAGCUGUCUAAAAUACUUUUACUGAACAUUUGUUUCCCCAUCUCGCACCUAAUUAUAUAAAACACACAUCAGAAUUGGGUCAGAUUGAUACAGGAACCUCUAUACCUGAAUUAGAUUAGAAAUAAUAGCAGAUGUUUUGAUACUUCAAACACCACACACAUUAAUAUAGC